CCCAGGGUCACAGUGUACUAAUGAUAGUGACAUGUUUAAUGGUCAGUCCCUCCCAGGGUCACAGUGUACUAAUGACAGUGACAUGUUUAAUGGUCAGUCCCUCCCAGGGUCACAGUGUACUAAUGACAGUGACAUGUUUAAUGGUCAGUCCCUCCCAGGGUCACAGUGUACUAAUGGCAGUGACAUGUUUAAUGGCCGGUCCCUCCCAGAGUCACAGUGUACUAAUGAC
This is a non-coding RNA of Pelobates cultripes (western spadefoot toad), 229 nucleotides long. The record is from the annotation of a GenBank genome assembly. Lineage: Eukaryota; Metazoa; Chordata; Amphibia; Anura; Pelobatidae.